This 480-nucleotide ribosomal RNA is filed under the name uncultured bacterium. Its description in RNAcentral is "bacterial SSU rRNA". It matches the Rfam family "Bacterial small subunit ribosomal RNA", at positions 29 to 518 of the family's 1533-position model. The record is from RNAcentral.
AACGAACGCUGGCGGCAUGCCUAACACAUGCAAGUCGAACGGGAUCCUGACUUCGGUUGGGUGAGAGUGGCGGACGGGUGAGUAACGCGUGGGAACCUGCCCAGUGGUGGGGGGAUAACUGCGGGAAACUGCAGCUAAUACCGCAUGAGCCCGAGAGGGGAAAGAUUUAUCGCCAUUGGAGGGGCCCGCGUUCGAUUAGGUAGUUGGUGAGGUAACGGCUCACCAAGCCUUCGAUCGAUAGCUGGUCUGAGAGGAUGAUCAGCCACACUGGGACUGAGAUACGGCCCAGACUCCUACGGGAGGCAGCAGUGGGGAAUAUUGGACAAUGGGGGGCAACCCUGAUCCAGCAAUGCCGCGUGAGUGAUGAAGGCCUUCGGUUGUAAGACUCUUUCAGUUGAGAAGAAAGAUUGUGACUAAUAAUACACGAUUCAUGACGGUAUCAACAGAAGAAGCACCGGCUAACUACGUGCCAGCAGCCGC